This is a long non-coding RNA of Gavialis gangeticus (Gharial), 251 nucleotides long. RefSeq lists it as uncharacterized. Lineage: Eukaryota; Metazoa; Chordata; Crocodylia; Gavialidae. The record is from RefSeq and is a predicted model, not a curated record. The transcript is spliced from 2 exons.
GAGGAGGCCGUGCUGCAUGCCAGAAGCUGGAGGCUCAGCUCAGAAGCUGUGACGUCGCACCACGGGAUCUAUGACGUCACGACAUCGCGAUGCGCCCCGGGUUGAACCUAUUUUGGCAACCUGGACUUUGAAUAGCUCUGGAGUGAGGACCAGAAGCUACCACAGGAAAAAGCAAGCACCUACUGUCUGGGAUGCUUGUCUUGUUGACUCUGAUAAUCUUGUCAAAGUUAAGGAAUCUCUGAAAAACUGCA